RNAcentral lists this ribosomal RNA (441 nucleotides) under uncultured bacterium. RNAcentral describes it as "partial 16S ribosomal RNA". It matches the Rfam family "Bacterial small subunit ribosomal RNA", at positions 338 to 795 of the family's 1533-position model. The record is from RNAcentral.
CCUACGGGAGGCAGCAGUAGGGAAUAUUGCACAAUGGGGGAAACCCUGAUGCAGCGACGCCGCGUGAGGGAAGAAGUAUUUCGGUAUGUAAAGCUCUAUCAGCAGGGAAGAAGAAAGACGGUACCUGACUAAGAAGCCCCGGCUAACUACGUGCCAGCAGCCGCGGUAAUACGUAGGGGGCAAGCGUUAUCCGGAUUUACUGGGUGUAAGGGGCGCGUAGACGGCUGUGCAAGUCUGAAGUGAAAGCCUAGGGCUCAACCCUGGGACUGCUUUGGAAACUGUGGAGCUAGAGUGCUGGAGAGGUAAGUGGAAUUCCUAGUGUAGCGGUGAAAUGCGUAGAUAUUAGGAGGAACACUAGUGGCGAAGGCGGCUUACUGGACAGUAACUGACGUUGAGGCUCGAAAGCGUGGGGAGCAAACAGGAUUAGAUACCCCAGUAGUC